AGCCUUUGGAUAUUGAUCUAAGGUUAUAUCUGCCCAAUGUAUUAGCUUUAUGAAUGGCCGCGGUACUUUGACCGUGCUAAGGUAGCGCAAUCAAUUGACCUUUAAAUGAGGUCAGGUAUGAAUGGGAUAACGGGGUUAAGCUGUCUUUAAACUAGUUUAUUGAAAUUACUAUAGAGGUGAAAAAGCCUCUAGUUAGAGAAAGGACGAGAAGACCCUUAGAGUUUGACUUAAUCAAAUUUUCAUUUUAAUAGUUUUGUUGGGGCAACAGAAGAACAGAGAAUUAAACCUCUUUAAAACAUACAAACCGAUGUUUUACAAAAUUGAAGAAACUACCUUAGGGAUAACAGCAUAAUUUUAAAAUUAAGAUUGUGACCUCGAUGUUGGACUAGGAACCUAAAAGGCUAGCCGCUUUUUGGUAAAGUUCUGUUCGAACUGUAAUUCCU
Molecule: ribosomal RNA, 443 nt
Filed under: Dendrodoris albobrunnea
Lineage: Eukaryota; Metazoa; Mollusca; Gastropoda; Nudibranchia; Dendrodorididae
Description: partial 16S ribosomal RNA
Rfam family: Archaeal large subunit ribosomal RNA
Source: RNAcentral